This 417-nucleotide ribosomal RNA is filed under the name uncultured bacterium. RNAcentral's name for it is "bacterial SSU rRNA". It matches the Rfam family "Bacterial small subunit ribosomal RNA", at positions 36 to 435 of the family's 1533-position model. The record is from RNAcentral.
CUGGCGGCGUGCUUAACACAUGCAAGUCGAACGAGAAAGGGACUUCGGUCCUGAGUAGAGUGGCGCACGGGUGAGUAACGCGUAGGUAAUCUACCUCUGCAUCUGGGAUAACACUUCGAAAGGGGUGCUAAUACCGGAUACACUUAUGGACCGCAAGGUCUAUAAGGAAAGGACACCUCUCCUUGGAAGUUUCUGUGUAGAGAUGAGCCUGCGUCCCAUUAGCUAGUUGGCAGGGUAAAGGCCUACCAAGGCGACGAUGGGUAGCGGGUCUGAGAGGAUGAUCCGCCACACUGGAACUGAAACACGGACCACUACUCCUACGGGAGGCAGCAGUGAGGAAUAUUGGACAAUGGGCGCAAGCCUGAUCCAUCGNACGCCGCUUGGAAUGAUGAAGGCCUUUGGGUCGUAAAAGCUCUG